Molecule: ribosomal RNA, 444 nt
Filed under: uncultured bacterium
Lineage: Bacteria
Description: SSU rRNA
Rfam family: Bacterial small subunit ribosomal RNA
Source: RNAcentral
AGAGCGAACGCUGGCGGCAGGCUUAACACAUGCAAGUCGAACGAUCCUUCGGGAUAGUGGCGGACGGGUGAGUAACACGUGGGAACGUGCCUUUAGGUUCGGAACAACACAGGGAAACUUGUGCUAAUACCGGAUGUGCCCUUCGGGGGAAAGAUUUAUCGCCUUUAGAGCGGCCCGCGUCUGAUUAGCUAGUUGGUGGGGUAAAAGCCUACCAAGGCUACGAUCAGUAGCUGGUCUGAGAGGAUGACCAGCCACAUUGGGACUGAGACACGGCCCAAACUCCUACGGGAGGCAGCAGUGGGGAAUCUUGCGCAAUGGGCGAAAGCCUGACGCAGCCAUGCCGCGUGGAUGAUGAAGGUCUUAGGAUUGUAAAAUCCUUUCACCGGGGACGAUAAUGACGGUACCCGGAGAAGAAGCCCCGGCUAACUUCGUGCCAGCAGCCGC